AUGCAAUGAACUUAAAAUUCAUUUAUAAAGAAUAAUCUUUUUUUAGAAAUC
This 51-nucleotide transfer RNA is filed under the name Acyrthosiphon pisum (pea aphid). RNAcentral's name for it is "partial tRNA-Leu". The record is from RNAcentral. Lineage: Eukaryota; Metazoa; Arthropoda; Insecta; Hemiptera; Aphididae.